This is an RNA transcript of Brassica napus (rape), 1920 nucleotides long. RefSeq lists it as uncharacterized. The transcript is spliced from 4 exons. The record is from RefSeq and is a predicted model, not a curated record. Lineage: Eukaryota; Viridiplantae; Streptophyta; Magnoliopsida; Brassicales; Brassicaceae.
GAUUUUCAAUAGAGUUUUCACAUGGCUUAGCAAGUUUUAUAUGCCUUUCUACAAUCAAGUUCGACUAAACCGGGGACAUACGUGUGGAAUUUUGAUUCGGUUACUUCCGGUUUAGCAUUCAUCAGAGACACGUAAGCAUUAUUACCCCCAUCACACUUUACACAUGUAUCGUUCCCCUACUUUCUCGGGUCAUUUACGCGCGUGAGUAUUCGCCAUCCUCGCGACGCAGAGGCUCACAAUAGCUUCCUAGGGUUUCGUUUGUUGGCAAUCACGAUCCUAACCUAACCCCUUUCUGAUUACCUCACCAAUCUUCGAUUCCUUGCUUCGAAUCUCCAAUAUCGCCAGCGUGCGUGAUAAACCCUAAAGAAACCCUAAUUUUCCCAAUCACAAAACUCAUCAACGAGCCAAUGGCGUCUGGUGCUAUAGUUCCCAAUGCGAAGCAUAAACGGAGUGAAAUUAGCAACAAAAGAUUGAAACCCACGACGGUGGUGCGACCGAUUCCGCUCGUGAUGAUGAAGAUAAGUCUAAACUCAACCUCAAAACUUGAAGUUCGCAACUUGAAGCGGAAACUAACAGCUGAGCUUGAAAAAGUCAGGACCUUGAUCAACCGCCUCGAACCUGUCCCCGACAAGACAGCGAACAAUGGUAAUAAGGGAGGCUCCGACAAAGGUAAAGCUCAGAUUUUGAAGAGCUUGCUUACGAAGCUUAUGAAGCAUAAGUUUGGGUGGAUUUUCAACACGCCGGUUGAUGCGGUUAAGUCCGGUUUACAUGAUUAUCACAAGGAAGAAAAAUAAUAAAAAAAGACAGCUUUUAGAUUACUAGCUCCACGCAAAAAAACAAUAGAGAUACCUGCAACCCCCAACUUGGGGCCCCCAGCCAUUACUUAACACUCGCAUUUUCUUUGUUAAUAUUUCUCUGUACGAACAAAGUUGCUUCCUUUCUUGUUUUUCUCGAGUGAUUGGUCUGUUGAAUGAUUUCAACAUAGACAUGGCUGUGGAACUGAUCUCGUAAAGUUAUGUGAUUCUGUGAGAUUAAAGCUAAAGACGUGGCUCACUGAUUGCUUCAAUUUGCUUUGCAGCGUUUUGGAAACACAAAGUUCAAGAAUGAGACUUUGGUGAUUUUUGCUUAUUUCAGUAUGCAAAUAAACCAUGGAGUCUGCUGCAACAAGUGCAGCUGUAUACCAGACGGUCAGACGACACGACGACUUUGAGUCUUAAGUUUCUGAGCUCACACAUCGCUGCAAUCCUUCAUUCACUCAGAUAACUUCCAAUGUAGCACAAGUUUUCUGGAAAUAUCAGCAGGAAAGGAUCGAACGUAAAAGGGUAUUCUCAGUGGUCGUUAAUGUAUUUGUGUGAGCUAUUUGGAGGGUAUAAACAUGAGUUAUGGAUUAUAUUUACGUGGACUUCAAGGACCCUAACUAGGACAGAUUAUUCAGAUUCAAGGUGAACAGAGGAAGAACCUUCCUUGUUCAGGUAACUGUAGAUCAUCAUCUUUUGUGAUCUUAAGAAUGUUCAACCGGCUGGUAUUGUGAAGAAGGAUAACAUCUAGACACCAUGGUUUUUGCCCAACAAUCAAAUCAGCCAGACUCUAAAAUGAAGAUUAGUCAGACGAGACAUAUGUUCCAAAGAGUUGGUAAAAUAUACUUUAAGAGAAGACAGAUGGAUAGAAAACCAAACAAGAACCUUGCAAAACAAGUAACCUUUUAUUCUUCAUCAGCGAAACAAGGGUUCAAAGCAGAUCAGCUAGGUUUGAUGGAAGCUCCUCAACAACCAUAUUGUAAAACUUCUGGAUAUCAGCAAGCAUUUUCUCAUCAUCACGAGUCACAAAGUUAAUCGCCGCACCUUUCCUCCCAAACCUUCCACUUCUUCCGAUACGGUGAAGGUAAUUCGCUGGCUGAGUUGGAAGGUCAAAGUUGAUGAC